RNAcentral lists this long non-coding RNA (210 nucleotides) under Elaeis guineensis (African oil palm). Its description in RNAcentral is "long non-coding RNA (EGUI_LNC052389)". The record is from RNAcentral. Lineage: Eukaryota; Viridiplantae; Streptophyta; Magnoliopsida; Arecales; Arecaceae.
UCUAUCGAAUAGGAAGAUUGACUUUUGACCCCUAGAUCUCUUUUCUUUGACUCAAACCUAACUAUGUGAAACUUCUAAAUAUAAAAAAUUAAUGCUAAAUGAGCGAUAGCAAGCUCAGUUGCUUGACUUACUAUGAUGGCUAUGACAAUGAGUUAAGCUGAAUGAGUGACAAGUAACUGAAAUAUUGAUCUUUACAUAUGAACACCCUCA